This is a non-coding RNA of Chiloscyllium plagiosum (whitespotted bambooshark), 960 nucleotides long. Lineage: Eukaryota; Metazoa; Chordata; Chondrichthyes; Orectolobiformes; Hemiscylliidae. The record is from RefSeq and is a predicted model, not a curated record.
UCUGCAGUCCUCACUUUUGCCUAGAUGGUAAUCAUUAUUUUUUAAAGGGCUCCAGUUGUUCGUAGAUUUAUAUAGAAUGAUCUCAACAAGAACUAAUUAAACAAAGGAGAGAGCCACAGUUGCAGUGAAGUACUAGCUACCCCUAGUGGUUAUUAUUGGAUUCAGCCCUUCUUCUCCUCCUACCCAACCUCCUGGGACAGGAAAAGUAUUAGACUUGAGGCCGAUUCAGAGAACCUGUCAUCAAAGCAAUGGUCCGACUUAACAUGGGCAUCGAGGAAAUACAGAGAAUAAUAAACAUCACAAAGCCAGUGCUCUUAUUGCCUCACACGAAGGACCUUGGAAACACAAACUGUAGGAAGAGGAAAAGCCCUGCGUUAAUUCUGAUUAAGCAGGGCUCAUGCCAUGUGCCUGAACAGAUUUAUGCCAUCAUUAUGAUCAUUAUGUUGCAGUUCUUUUUUCGUGGGAGGUUUGGAUCUCAUUUGUUGUGGAAGAGCCACAGUGGGCACGCUGCAGGUUAAAGAACAAGAGCUGGUGCCACCAUAAAGCAACUAGGCAGUCGCCUAGAACAGCAAAAUUUGAGAAUGGUAAGGCAAUUCGUGAAACUAUAGAAUUAAACAAGCAGGCUUCAGUAGUGGGAUAGAAAGGUUUGGAUCCACUGACACAUAUCCACAUAUACUGAGCUGCAUAUAGGUUUCUAUAUAUUUACAUUAGUCUUUACCACAAGUUCAUACUAUAUUCCUCACUCUAUGCAACUUUUAAAAUUUGUUCACCGAAAACACUGGUGAAUAUCAAAGAUUAUAAUUUAAUCUAGCCCACUAUAUCCUAAUGAUUAUUAAUUAUGCAAAUUAGUCAUAAUAUCAUCAAGCAAUCCAUGGUGCUAUUUCAUGUGCAUUGUCAUUUGUUUAUGAUGUGCAUUUCUUCCAUGACGUAACCUGUGAAAUAUGCAGCACAACGAGAAGG